Molecule: ribosomal RNA, 301 nt
Filed under: uncultured bacterium
Lineage: Bacteria
Description: partial 16S ribosomal RNA
Rfam family: Bacterial small subunit ribosomal RNA
Source: RNAcentral
CAGUAGCCGCGGGAAUACGAAGGGUGCAAGCGUUACUCGGAAUUACUGGGCGUAAAGCGUGCGUAGGUGGUGGUUUAAGUCCGUUGUGAAAGCCCUGGGCUCAACCUGGGAAUUGCAGUGGAUACUGGGUCACUAGAGUGUGGUAGAGGAUAGUGGAAUUUCCGGUGUAGCAGUGAAAUGCGUAGAGAUCGGAAGGAACAUCUGUGGCGAAGGCGACUAUCUGGGCCAACACUGACACUGAGGCACGAAAGCGUGGGGAGCGAACAGGAUUAGAUACCCCCGUAGUCCCUGUCUCUUAUAC